GGCUUCGUGGCCUAAUGGCUAGGGCGCUAGAUUUCGGUAAUGGGAAAUUCUCUAGAGAUUGUCGGUUCGAGUCCGGCCGAAGUCG
Xylaria sp. FL1042 is the source of this 85-nucleotide non-coding RNA. Lineage: Eukaryota; Fungi; Ascomycota; Sordariomycetes; Xylariales; Xylariaceae. The record is from the annotation of a GenBank genome assembly.